UACGUAGGUGGCGAGCGUUAUCCGGAUUUACUGGGCGUAAAGCGCUUGUAGGCGGUUUCGUAAGCUGGGCGUGAAAGCUCCGGGCUUAACCCGGAGAGGCCGUCCAAUACUGCGGAGCUCGAGGGUGCCAGAGGAAGGUGGAAUUCCUGGUGUAGCGGUGAAAUGCGUAGAUAUCAGGAGGAACACCCGUGGCGAAGGCGGCUUUCUGGGGCAUUCCUGACGCUGAGACGCGAAAGCUAGGGGAGCAAACAGG
RNAcentral lists this ribosomal RNA (253 nucleotides) under uncultured bacterium. RNAcentral's name for it is "partial 16S ribosomal RNA". It matches the Rfam family "Bacterial small subunit ribosomal RNA", at positions 524 to 776 of the family's 1533-position model. The record is from RNAcentral.